CUUAAUUGGGCGUUAAGUUGCAGGGUAUAGACCCGAAACCCGGUGAUCUAGCCAUGGGCAGGUUGAAGGUUGGGUAACACUAACUGGAGGACCGAACCGACUAAUGUUGAAAAAUUAGCGGAUGACCUGUGGCUGGGGGUGAAAGGCCAAUCAAACCGGGAGAUAGCUGGUUCUCCCCGAAAGCUAUUUAGGUAGCGCCUCGUGAAUUCAUCUCCGGGGGUAGAGCACUGUUUCGGCUAGGGGGCCAUCCCGGCUUACCAACCCGAUGCAAACUGCGAAUACCGGAGAAUGUUAUCACGGGAGACACACGGCGGGUGCUAACGUCCGUCGUGAAGAGGGAAACAACCCAGACCGCCAGCUAAGGUCCCAAAGUCAUGGUUAAGUGGGAAACGAUGUGGGAAGGCCCAGACAGCCAGGAUGUUGGCUUAGAAGCAGCCAUCAUUUAAAGAAAGCGUAAUAGCUCACUGGUCGAGUCGGCCUGCGCGGAAGAUGUAACGGGGCUAAACCAUGCACCGAAGCUGCGGCAGCGAACGUAUCACUUAAAGCGAUUCAGCGGGUUACGAUUGACGGAGCGAAGCGACGUCAAAGCGUAUACAAAGUCGAGUCGGUUUAAGGAUACGUUCGUUGGGUAGGGGAGCGUUCUGUAAGCCUGUGAAGGUGUGUCGUGAGGCAUGCUGGAGGUAUCAGAAGUGCGAAUGCUGACAUAAGUAACGAUAAAGCGGGUGAAAAGCCCGCUCGCCGGAAGACCAAGGGUUCCUGUCCAACGUUAAUCGGGGCAGGGUGAGUCGACCCCUAAGGCGAGGCCGAAAGGCGUAGUCGAUGGGAAACGGGUUAAUAUUCCCGUACUUGGUGUUACUGCGAAGGGGGGACGGAGAAGGCUAUGUUGGCCGGGCGACGGUUGUCCCGGUUUAAGCGUGUAGGUGUGUGUUCCAGGUAAAUCCGGUUCACUUUAACACUGAGGCGUGAUGACGAGGCACUACGGUGCUGAAGCAACAAAUGCCCUGCUUCCAGGAAAAGCCUCUAAGCAUCAGGUAACAUCAAAUCGUACCCCAAACCGACACAGGUGGUCAGGUAGAGAAUACCAAGGCGCUUGAGAGAACUCGGGUGAAGGAACUAGGCAAAAUGGUGCCGUAACUUCGGGAGAAGGCACGCUGACAUGUAGGUGAAGUGAUUUACUCAUGGAGCUGAAGUCAGUCGAAGAUACCAGCUGGCUGCAACUGUUUAUUAAAAACACAGCACUGUGCAAACACGAAAGUGGACGUAUACGGUGUGACGCCUGCCCGGUGCCGGAAGGUUAAUUGAUGGGGUCAGCGCAAGCGAAGCUCCUGAUCGAAGCCCCGGUAAACGGCGGCCGUAACUAUAACGGUCCUAAGGUAGCGAAAUUCCUUGUCGGGUAAGUUCCGACCUGCACGAAUGGCGUAAUGAUGGCCAGGCUGUCUCCACCCGAGACUCAGUGAAAUUGAACUCGCUGUGAAGAUGCAGUGUACCCGCGGCAAGACGGAAAGACCCCGUGAACCUUUACUAUAGCUUGACACUGAACAUUGAGCCUUGAUGUGUAG
Molecule: ribosomal RNA, 1559 nt
Filed under: Salmonella enterica subsp. enterica serovar Infantis
Lineage: Bacteria; Pseudomonadati; Pseudomonadota; Gammaproteobacteria; Enterobacterales; Enterobacteriaceae
Description: partial 23S ribosomal RNA
Rfam family: Bacterial large subunit ribosomal RNA
Source: RNAcentral